UCUACAAAGUUUCAGUAAUAAGUUAAAAAAGUAAAAUAGGUAGAGUGUAGUCAAUCUAACAUGCUAGUUAGGUGAAAUGGUCAGCAGUUGGUGGUAAUGAACUUCACUCAAGAAUAGUGACUCCCUAUUGGUUGAGAGGCGGGAUCUAAACAAACACACGGGAGAGCACAGAGAGAAAAAGAGAUGAGAAAGGAGGCCGACUUUGUCGAACUAACAGUGAAGUAAAAGAGAGAAAUUAAUAAGGAUGCUACAGCAGUAUUAAGAAGGUUGGACUCAUUGCUGGUCCCUGAAGACGAAACAAUGUGUUGCUGCUUUCCUGCUGCAUUGCACCAUGAUAAAAAAGAUGCUUUAAGAAACAGCUCAGGAAGAGUCGCCUUACGGUCGGACUCAUUGCUGGUCCCUGAAGACGAAACAAUGUGUUGCCGCUGUCCUGCUGCAUUGCACCAUGAUAAAAAAAGAUGCUUUAAGAAACAGCUCAGGAAGAGUCGCCUUACGGUUAUUGCAGGUUUUAUCUAGCUCAGUUUCUCCAGCUGCAUGUUUGUGAAGUGUCAGUGAGUGAGAUCCUUGUUUUGUGCGGACAUGUGAAACAUAUAAAUUGUCCGGUAAUUUGUCACUGUGGUUUAAGGCUGACAGGAUAUCACAUUAUUUUAGUCAACGUAACAACAUUGCAUAAGUGCGUAUAAUGAUAUUAUGGUAACAGGCGUUUAAUCAAAUGAAAGAAAAUGCUGUAUAUUCUCUAUAAGAAGCACCAAAAACAUUUAGUCCAGAUUAUUAAAGGUGAAUGGUAUAGAAUUGAAAGGCAUCUUAUAGUGAGGUAAUAGUGCAGAUUGAAACCAAGUGAGCACUCUUCAUCUCACCUUCACCUUCCAACUGUAGAGGCAACCUUCAGGUAAAGCAAAAGGCCAGUGUUAGGUGAUAGCUGUAUGCACUGUCUGGUUAACUGGCAGCUGUACAUAUGGAUGCAACUCCGGUACUUACCACAGGGAGUCUCUGCUGGACUUUCAAACAUCAACAACAUAUGGUCGUA
Molecule: long non-coding RNA, 1027 nt
Organism: Platichthys flesus (European flounder)
Lineage: Eukaryota; Metazoa; Chordata; Actinopteri; Pleuronectiformes; Pleuronectidae
Exons: 3
Source: RefSeq, a predicted model, not a curated record